UACGAAGGGGGCUAGCGUUGUUCGGAAUCACUGGGCGUAAAGCGCACGUAGGCGGAUUGCUAAGUCAGGGGUGAAAUCCUGGAGCUCAACUCCAGAACUGCCUUUGAUACUGGCGAUCUCGAGUCCGGGAGAGGUGAGUGGAACUGCGAGUGUAGAGGUGAAAUUCGUAGAUAUUCGCAAGAACACCAGUGGCGAAGGCGGCUCUCUGGGACGGUACUGGACGCUGAGACGCGAAAGCGUGGGGAGCGAACAGG
Molecule: ribosomal RNA, 254 nt
Filed under: uncultured bacterium
Lineage: Bacteria
Description: partial 16S ribosomal RNA
Rfam family: Bacterial small subunit ribosomal RNA
Source: RNAcentral